Molecule: ribosomal RNA, 493 nt
Filed under: Heteroglymma heteroglymmoides
Lineage: Eukaryota; Metazoa; Arthropoda; Insecta; Coleoptera; Curculionidae
Description: partial 16S ribosomal RNA
Source: RNAcentral
UCGAACAGACCUAAAUAUUUCAGCUUCUACACCAAAAUUUUAUUUUAAUCCAACAUCGAGGUCGCAAUCUUUUUUUUCGAUAAGAACUCUCAAAAAAAAUUACGCUGUUAUCCCUAAGGUAAUUUAAUCUUUUAAUCUAAAUAAUAGGAUCAAUAAUUUAUAUAUAAAUAUUUAAAUAAAAAAAAAGUUGAUUAAAUUUUUUAAUCACCCCAACUAAAUUAAUAUUUUUCUAUAAAAACUUCCAAUUCUAAUUCUUUAUAAAUAAUUAUUAAUAAAACUCUAUAGGGUCUUCUCGUCUUUAAUUAUUAUUUAAGCUUUUUAACUUAAAAAUAAAAUUCUAAUAAACUUAAAUAGAGACAGUUAUUUUCUCAUCCAACCUUUCAUUCCAGCUUCCAAUUAAAAAACUAAUGAUUAUGCUACCUUUGCACGGUCAAAUUACCGCGGCCAUUUAAUUACUCAUUGGGCAGGCCAGACCUUAAAUUAUAAUCAAAAA